UACAGGGGGUGCAAACGUUGCUCGGAAUUAUUGGGCGUAAAGCGCACGUAGGCGGUUCGUUAUGUCAGAUGUGAAAGCCCUUGGCUCAACUGAGGAAGUGCAUCUGAAACUGGCGAGCUAGAGUAUGUAAGAGGGUCGCGGAAUUCCCGGUGUAGAGGUGAAAUUCGUAGAUAUUGGGAAGAACACCGGUGGCGAAGGCGGCUAUCUGGACCGACAUUGACGCUGAUGCGCGAAAGCGUGGGGAGCAAACAGG
This 253-nucleotide ribosomal RNA is filed under the name uncultured bacterium. Its description in RNAcentral is "partial 16S ribosomal RNA". It matches the Rfam family "Bacterial small subunit ribosomal RNA", at positions 524 to 776 of the family's 1533-position model. The record is from RNAcentral.